RNAcentral lists this ribosomal RNA (576 nucleotides) under uncultured Streptococcus sp. Its description in RNAcentral is "partial 16S ribosomal RNA". It matches the Rfam family "Bacterial small subunit ribosomal RNA", at positions 221 to 776 of the family's 1533-position model. The record is from RNAcentral. Lineage: Bacteria; Bacillati; Bacillota; Bacilli; Lactobacillales; Streptococcaceae.
UUCCACGGACACCCAGUAUAUAACCCCCGCCGGCCGGUGAAAAGGCCCCCCCAGGGAAAAAUUCGAUGGCGGAUUUUUUUAAGAAUGCCCGCCCCCCAAUUGCACCUCAGGCUCGGCCCCUUACCCCUUCCGGGAGGAAACCCUUGGGGGAGCUAUUGGCACAAUGGAACGAAAAUUCUAUUCCAGCAAACCCCCAGGGCCCCCGAAAGAAUGUUUUUUCGGGUAUGGUAAAGGCUCCUUUCAGCCAAGGAACGAAAAAAGGCCGGUCCCUGAAUUAGGAAGGCCCCGGGCUAACUUUUGUGCCCGCAGCCCCGGUUAUCAGUAGGGGGGGCAAGCGUUAUCCCGGAUUUAUUGGGUGUAAAGGGAGCGUAGACGGCGAAGCAAGUCUGAAGUGAAAAAUCCGGGGCUCAAUUCCCCGAAGUUCUUUGGAAGUUGUCUCGAUAAAGGGUCGGAGAGGUAAGUGGAAUUCCUGGCGUAGCGGUGAAAUGUGUAGAUAUCAGGAAGAACACCGGAGGCGAAGACGGCUUACUGGACGAUAACUGACGUUGAGGCUCGAAAGCGUGGGAAGCAAACAGG